CUCAAUCCCAAAAUCUUCAGAGCCAAAAAGAUGGCGAUUGCAAAGCUUCGAAGCACUCAAGCGAUCUCAGAUGGAAGCAAUGGAGGCCUGCGAAUCAUAUUUUUCUACAGAUUCUUCAUGUCUGCUGUCGCUAUCAUCUCGAUUUUGAUAUUUGCUACUCUCUUUCUCUUUUCUUCUUCAUUGAUAACCAAUUCAGUAGAUGUCAAGUUGGGUGUGGUUUCUUCUCGUUUUAAUGGCAUCCACUCUAUUCGGAGAUCUGUGCUUGCCGUGAAGUCAGAUCCCUUGAAACCGCGUGUGGAUUCGAUCUAGAAGCAAGCUGAUGACCAUAGAUCUCUAGCCCUCGCUUAUGAUUCGUUUGCGCGAAAGUUGAAGCUCAAGAACUCAAAGCUUGUAAGGCCUUUUGCUGAUCUAACUCAUAAUUAUAUAGAUUUGUUGUCUAUAUUGUCUUACUGGUCUUUGUUCGUUUUCGAUGAUGUUUCGAUUGAUGAGUAUACACUUCGCCAGUUCGAGAAGGAGGUGAAGGAACGGAUCAGACUCGAUAACCAGCUGAAGAUUCAGAAGCUUAAAGACACUAUUUUUGCUGUCAAUGAGCACCUCACCAAGGCUAAGAAACAGGGGGCUUUCUCGAGCUUGAUUGCUGCGAAAUCGAUUCCCAAAAGCUUGUGAUUUCUUCAAGUAGCAGCUCCCUCUCCAAUUGUUGGCGUGUGGAUUUCAUCACAGACUAACAGGAGUUUCAAAUCAAGAUAAAAGGAUCAGACUUACAAACAAUCAAUUGAGGUAAAGAAAACAAAGAAAGUGAGAUUACUAUCAUUUUUCGAGGAACUCUUGGACUGAAGAUUCACGAUCUUCUGGGUUCUUGGACGCGGAACAACACCAAGAGUUGUCAGGGGUGAUGAUGGUGGGAGCUCUUGGAGAAUCACGUUUAUGGAGGUGGAGAGUGAAAUCUCCGGUAGAGGAGGAGGAGUGGUCCGGGGAGUUGGGGAGAUUCAGAUAAAGAAAACGAAAGAGAAAGAAGAUAGAGAGGGAAGAGAUAUUAGAGUUCACCUUUUGCAAUUGCAAGAGUAUUUUGGUAUUUAAAAAAAAUAUAUAAUAGCUAACAUUAGCAUAUGAUGUAUAUUCUGUUACAAUGACUGACUGUAGAGGGUCUGAGUAUAAUUUGGUAUUAUGUAAAUGGUGUUUCUCUAAUAAUGACAUUUUCUAGGGGGUGGCGUUAUAAAUUACCCAAAAAUAAAUGAUUAUUGAUAUGACAAAAAUUGACCAGUCGUUCUUCCUUGCAGCUCUUGACGCUUCAGCAGGUAUGCACAGAAGAGAAGAUAGGGGAGAGCUGAGCUGACUUGACGGGGGACUCUCAGAUGCCUAAGUCAGAUCUUUCCACAGCAGAUACUCAAGAGAGUUUUCAGUCAAAAGAAGUGAUCGAUCCCCUUGUGGGGGAGUUUACCUUGGUAUUUAUAGGCUGCUCAUGGAGGGAGGAAAGGAGACGUUCGUGGAGAGUUCUGUUAGACGUGGAGUCCUUGAGAGGAAUGACUCUCUGAUGCUAGGAAUCCAGAUCCUAGGGCACACUUUGGGAAUAUUCCCCUCUUAUCUCGGAGGUGCAAGUCGUGGGAGCGGUGGAUGACUCUGAUGACGUGUAAUGGAUAGAGUCCUACCCUUGUGAUUAGGAGUUACGUUCUUUGAAUGUAGGAGUGAAUGAGUGUACGUUUCCGGGAGCCUUACUUGAUGAUGCCGAGCCGAGGUGGUUGCUCGGCCUGAGAAGAGGCCGAGGUGGCAGAUCGGCAUUCGUUGUUCAAACGCUGCUUGGCCAUGCUGUGGUCAGGGAUAUAUUUACCCUCAUCAAUUAUGAUAUUAUAAAUUGAUGAAUUGAUUAUCCAUUUUUUACAAUAUUAGUGAAAAUAUUUUUGUUUUAAAGAUAACUAUUACAAAUCAAUGAAUAUGAGGUAUGAAUCGGGAAAUUGACUUGUAAA
This is a long non-coding RNA of Macadamia integrifolia, 1961 nucleotides long. RefSeq lists it as uncharacterized. The record is from RefSeq and is a predicted model, not a curated record. The transcript is spliced from 2 exons. NCBI's taxonomy places the organism in Eukaryota, Viridiplantae, Streptophyta, Magnoliopsida, Proteales, Proteaceae.